This is a long non-coding RNA of Mizuhopecten yessoensis (Yesso scallop), 607 nucleotides long. RefSeq lists it as uncharacterized. The transcript has 3 exons. The record is from RefSeq and is a predicted model, not a curated record. Lineage: Eukaryota; Metazoa; Mollusca; Bivalvia; Pectinida; Pectinidae.
ACGGUAAAGUAACAUGUUUUUUUGUCUUUUUUUUCAAAUACUUCAAUAAACAUACCAAGUGAGACUCCUUAUGGAAAGUGACGGUCGGAUUUCGCUGAAAUAUAUUCAUAAACCUGUAUAAUUUUAAAAUGAUAAUCGGAAUUUCUACCUGUCUGACCAACGUUUUGUUUGGGGAUUCCAUUGAUUAUGUCUACGUCAUAUGGAGUAGCGCAUGCGCAUAUUACGCCAUUUCACUGUAAACAACAAUGGCUUCCGCGGGAAGUUUCAGCGUGUCGGCAACAAAGCAAAGACAUGCCAAAUGGUCCAAGGAAAACCCUAGGAUUACGUUAGGGACACAGUACGACAGGUGGGAGGCAUUCAAGGAAGACAAUAACUGCCCUAGUAAUCCGGAUGCAGCUCGUAUCAUUCUCGAUUGCUGGUGUGAAAUGGAAUUCUAGUAGACCUGUGUAGUGUACAAGCACGGAGCUAGCCCCUGUCGGAAUGAUAAGAGGUGUUUUCUACGUUACGUCUUGUUUGUGCUACGGUUGCUGUUGUUUUAAAUAAAUGGUGGAAACAAAGUCCGUCGUAGUCUGUGAUGAUUCCCCAGAUGGGAGAUAAACACCACCCC